RNAcentral lists this long non-coding RNA (464 nucleotides) under Malus domestica (apple). RNAcentral's name for it is "long non-coding RNA (MDOM_LNC002903)". The record is from RNAcentral. Lineage: Eukaryota; Viridiplantae; Streptophyta; Magnoliopsida; Rosales; Rosaceae.
AAGAAACAGAGGAAGGAGAUUGGGCAAAAAUGCCCAAUUGGGACAAGAGAGAAGAAGGCAUCAGGAGGGAUUGAGAGAGGGAGAAGCCGACCAAUCGGAACAGAGGAAAGGAGAGAGGGCGAGAAGCGGAGGAGAGAAGAUCAGAAAACGGGUUUUCCCCCAACCCGUUUACCCGCGACACCCACACCCAAAUUCCGGCGAUUUUCACCUGAUUUCUCACAAAUUGGAUCAAGGUACCACUUCCAAUCAACACCUAGGCCUUCCCUCUUCAUGUUUCACCCCAAAAAUCAUGAAAUGUCGUGGUGAUUUGGCGAAGAACACCUACACGGGUGCCGCGACCUUCUUGUCCAAAUUCUUCAAAUCUUGAAAUGUUUUCUUUCAAUUACUAACACCAUUAGUAUUCCCUUAGGACCUGGAACAAAGCCCAAGCUUUGAUUUGGACGGUGGAGUUGAUUUGAAGGUCG